UGCAUGAAGUCGGAAUUGCUAGUAAUCGCGGAUCAGCAUGCCGCGGUGGAAUAACGUUUCCCCGGGGCCCUUGUACACACCGCCCGUCACACCAUGGGAGCCGGUAAUACCCGAAGUCAGUAGUCCAACCUCGUGAGGACGCUGCCGAAGGUAGGAUUGGCGACUGGGGUGAAGUCGUAACAAGGUAAC
Molecule: ribosomal RNA, 189 nt
Filed under: uncultured bacterium
Lineage: Bacteria
Description: partial 16S ribosomal RNA
Rfam family: Bacterial small subunit ribosomal RNA
Source: RNAcentral